Molecule: ribosomal RNA, 552 nt
Filed under: Rhacophorus sp. USNM 587482
Lineage: Eukaryota; Metazoa; Chordata; Amphibia; Anura; Rhacophoridae
Description: partial 16S ribosomal RNA
Rfam family: Bacterial large subunit ribosomal RNA
Source: RNAcentral
CGCCUCUUGAUGAGAUAUAAGAGGUCCAGCCUGCCCAGUGACAAAAUUUAACGGCCGCGGUACCCUGACCGUGCGAAGGUAGCAUAAUCACUUGUUCUUUAAAUAGGGACUAGUAUCAACGGCAUCACGAGGGUUACACUGUCUCCUUUCUCCAAUCAGUGAAACUGAUCUUCCCGUGAAGAAGCGGGAAUACACCUAUAAGACGAGAAGACCCCAUGGAGCUUUAAAUUUCACAGCAACUCAGUCACAUAAUUCUUUAUAACUAACAGAGCCAUGCAUGCCAAUUUUAGGUUGGGGUGACCGCGGAGUAUAAAAAAACCUCCACAUCGAAAAGAACUAAAUCUUUAUUUAAGAGCUACAACUCUAAAAAUUAGUACACUAACGAACAAUGACCCGAUAAUCGAUCAACGGACCAAGUUACCCUGGGGAUAACAGCGCAAUCUACUUCAAGAGCCCAUAUCGACAAGUAGGCUUACGACCUCGAUGUUGGAUCAGGGUAUCCCAGUGGUGCAGCCACUACUAAUGGUUCGUUUGUUCAACGAUUAAAACCCU